RNAcentral lists this ribosomal RNA (254 nucleotides) under uncultured bacterium. RNAcentral describes it as "partial 16S ribosomal RNA". It matches the Rfam family "Bacterial small subunit ribosomal RNA", at positions 524 to 776 of the family's 1533-position model. The record is from RNAcentral.
UACGGGGGGAGCAAGCGUUGUUCGGAUUUACUGGGCGUAAAGGGCGCGUAGGCGGCCACUGCAAGUCGGUUGUGAAAUCUCCGGGCUUAACCCGGAAAGGUCAACCGAUACUGCAGGGCUAGAGUGCAGAAGGGGCAACUGGAAUUCUCGGUGUAGCGGUGAAAUGCGUAGAUAUCGAGAGGAACACCUGCGGCGAAGGCGGCCACCUGGACCAGCACUGACACUGAGGCACGAAGGCGUGGGGAGCAAACAGG